GUCGAGCGAACAGAUAAGGAGCUUGCUCCUUUGAAGUUAGCGGCGGACGGGUGAGUAACACGUGGGUAACCUACCUAUAAGACUGGGAUAACUUCGGGAAACCGGAGCUAAUACCGGAUAACAUUUAGAACCGCAUGGUUCUAAAGUGAAAGAUGGUUUUGCUAUCACUUAUAGAUGGACCCGCGCCGUAUUAGCUAGUUGGUAAGGUAACGGCUUACCAAGGCGACGAUACGUAGCCGACCUGAGAGGGUGAUCGGCCACACUGGAACUGAGACACGGUCCAGACUCCUACGGGAGGCAGCAGUAGGGAAUCUUCCGCAAUGGGCGAAAGCCUGACGGAGCAACGCCGCGUGAGUGAUGAAGGGUUUCGGCUCGUAAAACUCUGUUAUUAGGGAAGAACAAAUGUGUAAGUAACUGUGCACAUCUUGACGGUACCUAAUCAGAAAGCCACGGCUAACUACGUGCCAGCAGCCGCGGUAAUACGUAGGUGGCAAGCGUUAUCCGGAAUUAUUGGGCGUAAAGCGCGCGUAGGCGGUUUCUUAAGUCUGAUGUGAAAGCCCACGGCUCAACCGUGGAGGGUCAUUGGAAACUGGGAAACUUGAGUGCAGAAGAGGAAAGUGGAAUUCCAUGUGUAGCGGUGAAAUGCGCAGAGAUAUGGAGGAACACCAGUGGCGAAGGCGACUUUCUGGUCUGUAACUGACGCUGAUGUGCGAAAGCGUGGGGAUCAAACAGGANUAGAUACCCUGGUAGUCCACGCCGUAAACGAUGAGUGCUAAGUGUUAGGGGGUUUCCNNCCCUUAGUGCUGCANCUAACGCAUUAAGCACUCCGCCUGGGGAGUACGACCGCNAGGGUNGAAACUCAANGANUGACGGGGACCCGCNCAANCGGNGGANCAUGUGNUUA
RNAcentral lists this ribosomal RNA (904 nucleotides) under Staphylococcus xylosus. RNAcentral's name for it is "bacterial SSU rRNA". It matches the Rfam family "Bacterial small subunit ribosomal RNA", at positions 61 to 947 of the family's 1533-position model. The record is from RNAcentral. Lineage: Bacteria; Bacillati; Bacillota; Bacilli; Caryophanales; Staphylococcaceae.